RNAcentral lists this long non-coding RNA (450 nucleotides) under Amborella trichopoda. RNAcentral describes it as "long non-coding RNA (ATRI_LNC004932)". Lineage: Eukaryota; Viridiplantae; Streptophyta; Magnoliopsida; Amborellales; Amborellaceae. The record is from RNAcentral.
GAGAAACUAAAAUCCACUACACCAUUAAAAGUUACGUCAUGGAUUUUGGGACAUAGAGUUAUCUCUUUAACACUCGACAAAACCUAGACAAGCAAACCCUUUAAGACCUGCUCUCUCGAUCAGCACAACCCACCAAUCGUACAUAAAUAGUCGAACAAACCCUUUUAGACCAGCUCUCUCGAUCUGCACGACCCACCAGUCUCACGUAUCUAUUCCACAGCUAAAUCACUGUCCAGAAAGAGACCAAUAUCUAUUCCACGGCUAAACCACUAUCCAAGAAGAGACCCUUGAGAGCAAUUGAGAAUUUCUCUCAAAGGGGAAACCAUCCAAAAUAUUCAUGGGAACCGCUUCCCUAAAAAAUACCAGCCUCUUACUCUGCAGGAGGCACAUUGUGGUGUUUCUCUCCAUAAGAAGCUCUCCUUUCUGAAGGGGAGGCCUUGUCUCUCGUGC